UNUGACUUGAGUGCAGAAGGGGAGAGUGGAAUUCCAUGUGUAGCGGUGAAAUGCGUAGGUAUAUGGAGGAACACCAGUGGCGAAAGCGGCUCUCUGGUCUGUCACUGACGCUGAGGCUCGAAAGCGUGGGUAGCGAACAGGAUUAGAUACCCUGGUAGUNCACGCCGUAAACGAUGAGUGCUAGGUGUUAGGCCCUUUCCGGGGCUUAGUGCCGGAGCUAACGCAAUAAGCACUCCGCCUGGGGAGUACGACCGCAAGGUUGAAACUCAAAGGAAUUGACGGGGGCCCGCACAAGCGGUGGAGCAUGUGGUUUAAUUCGAAGCAACGCGAAGAACCUUACCAGGUCUUGACAUCCCGAUGCUAUUCUUAGAGAUAGGAAGUUACUUCGGUACAUCGGAGACAGGUGGUGCAUGGUUGUCGUCAGCUCGUGUCGUGAGAUGUUGGGUUAAGUCCCGCAACGAGCGCAACCCUUAUUGUUAGUUGCCAUCAUUAAGUUGGGCACUCUAGCGAGACUGCCGGUAAUAAACCGGAGGAAGGUGGGGAUGACGUCAAAUCAUCAUGCCCCUUAUGACCUGGGCUACACACGUGCUACAAUGGUCGGUACAACGAGUUGCGAGCCGGUGACGGCAAGCUAAUCUCUGAAAGCCGAUCUCAGUUCGGAUUGGAGGCUGCAACUCGCCUCCAUGAAGUCGGAAUCGCUAGUAAUCGCGGAUCAGCACGCCGCGGUGAAUACGUUCCCGGGCCUUGUACACACCGCCCGUCACACCACGAGAGUUUGUAACACCCGAAGUC
This 792-nucleotide ribosomal RNA is filed under the name uncultured bacterium. RNAcentral's name for it is "bacterial SSU rRNA". It matches the Rfam family "Bacterial small subunit ribosomal RNA", at positions 636 to 1428 of the family's 1533-position model. The record is from RNAcentral.